AGAGUUUGAUCCUGGCUCAGAUUGAACGCUGGCGGAAUGCUUUACACAUGCAAGUCGAACGGCAGCACGGGGGCAACCCUGGUGGCGAGUGGCGAACGGGUGAGUAAUACAUCGGAACGUGCCCAGUCGUGGGGGAUAACGUAGCGAAAGCUACGCUAAUACCGCAUACGAACUCUGGUUGAAAGCGGGGGAUCGCAAGACCUCGCGCGAUUGGAGCGGCCGAUGGCAGAUUAGGUAGUUGGUGGGGUAAAGGCUCACCAAGCCGACGAUCUGUAGCUGGUCUGAGAGGACGACCAGCCACACUGGGACUGAGACACGGCCCAGACUCCUACGGGAGGCAGCAGUGGGGAAUUUUGGACAAUGGACGCAAGUCUGAUCCAGCCAUUCCGCGUGCAGGAUGAAGGCCCUCGGGUUGUAAACUGCUUUUGUACGGAACGAAAAGGCUCUGGUUAAUACCUGGGGCUCAUGACGGUACCGUAAGAAUAAGCACCGGCUAACUACGUGCCAGCAGCCGCGGUAAUACGUAGGGUGCAAGCGUUAAUCGGAAUUACUGGGCGUAAAGCGUGCGCAGGCGGUUAUGUAAGACAGGUGUGAAAUCCCCGGGCUUAACCUGGGAACUGCAUUUGUGACUGCAUAGCUAGAGUACGGUAGAGGGGGAUGGAAUUCCGCGUGUAGCAGUGAAAUGCGUAGAUAUGCGGAGGAACACCGAUGGCGAAGGCAAUCCCCUGGACCUGUACUGACGCUCAUGCACGAAAGCGUGGGGAGCAAACAGGAUUAGAUACCCUGGUAGUCCACGCCCUAAACGAUGUCAACUGGUUGUUGGGUCUUCACUGACUCAGUAACGAAGCUAACGCGUGAAGUUGACCGCCUGGGGAGUACGGCCGCAAGGUUGAAACUUAAAGGAAUUGACGG
RNAcentral lists this ribosomal RNA (912 nucleotides) under uncultured bacterium. RNAcentral's name for it is "bacterial SSU rRNA". It matches the Rfam family "Bacterial small subunit ribosomal RNA", at positions 8 to 916 of the family's 1533-position model. The record is from RNAcentral.